Molecule: ribosomal RNA, 270 nt
Filed under: uncultured bacterium
Lineage: Bacteria
Description: partial 16S ribosomal RNA
Rfam family: Bacterial small subunit ribosomal RNA
Source: RNAcentral
AAUAAACGCUGGCGGCGUGCCUAACACAUGCAAGUCGAGCGAGAAAGUCCUUCGGGACAAGUACAGCGGCGAACGGGUGAGUAACGCGUAAGAAUCUACCGUUGAGUGGAGAAUACCCACGAGAAAUCGUGGUUAAUACUGCAUACGUCCCUUCGGGGAGAAAGAUGGCCUCUUUGCUAUCGCUCAAUGAGGAGCUUGCGUACUAUUAGCUAGUUGGUAGGGUAAAGGCCUACCAAGGCGAUGAUGGUUAGCCGGCCUGAGAGGGUGUUC